AGCGAACGCUGGCGGCAGGCUUAACACAUGCAAGUCGAGCGCCCCGCAAGGGGAGCGGCAGACGGGUGAGUAACACGUGGGAACGUGCCUUUUGGUUCGGAACAACCCAGGGAAACUUGGGCUAAUACCGGAUAAGCCCUUACGGGGAAAGAUUUAUCGCCAAAAGAUCGGCCCGCGUCUGAUUAGCUAGUUGGUGGGGUAAUGGCCCACCAAGGCUACGAUCAGUAGCUGGUCUGAGAGGAUGAUCAGCCACAUUGGGACUGAGACACGGCCCAAACUCCUACGGGAGGCAGCAGUGGGGAAUCUUGGACAAUGGGCGCAAGCCUGAUCCAGCCAUGCCGCGUGAGUGAUGAAGGCCUUAGGGUCGUAAAGCUCUUUCAGUGGGGAAGAUAAUGACGGUACCCACAGAAGAAGCCCCGGCUAACUUCGUGCCAGCCGCCGCGGUAA
This 447-nucleotide ribosomal RNA is filed under the name uncultured bacterium. Its description in RNAcentral is "partial 16S ribosomal RNA". It matches the Rfam family "Bacterial small subunit ribosomal RNA", at positions 29 to 523 of the family's 1533-position model. The record is from RNAcentral.